Molecule: ribosomal RNA, 500 nt
Filed under: uncultured bacterium
Lineage: Bacteria
Description: partial 16S ribosomal RNA
Rfam family: Bacterial small subunit ribosomal RNA
Source: RNAcentral
AUUGAACGCUGGCGGAAUGCUUUACACAUGCAAGUCGAACGGCAGCGCGGACUUCGGUCUGGUGGCGAGUGGCGAACGGGUGAGUAAUGUAUCGGAACGUGCCCAGUCGUGGGGGAUAACGUAGUGAAAAUUACGCUAAUACCGCAUACGAUCUAUGGAUGAAAGCGGGGGAUCGCAAGACCUAGCGCGAUUGGAGCGGCCGAUAUCAGAUUAGGUAGUUGGUGGGGUAAAGGCCCACCAAGCCAACGAUCUGUAGCUGGUCUGAGAGGACGACCAGCCACACUGGAACUGAGACACGGUCCAGACUCCUACGGGAGGCAGCAGUGGGGAAUUUUGGACAACGGGCGAAAGCCUGAUCCAGCCAUUCCGCGUGCAGGAUGAAGGCCCUCGGGUUGUAAACUGCUUUUGUACAGAACGAAAAGGUUUCUACUAAUACUAGGAGCUCAUGACGGUACUGUAAGAAUAAGCACCGGCUAACUACGUGCCAGCCGCCGCGGUAA